Long non-coding RNA from Syngnathus acus (greater pipefish), 3119 nucleotides. RefSeq lists it as uncharacterized. The record is from RefSeq and is a predicted model, not a curated record. The transcript has 2 exons. NCBI's taxonomy places the organism in Eukaryota, Metazoa, Chordata, Actinopteri, Syngnathiformes, Syngnathidae.
UUUUUUUUUGGAUGAGGGGGUGCACGUAAUUAUGCAGUAAAGAUGGCAAGAUUUUUCUCCCUUUCCUGGUGGACUUCUGCAGACCGUGUCAAGCUAGAGGAUUUACUGGCCCACUGGCCUCAUUGCCAAAGGCAGUUUUUCCCCACACUCAUAGGAUUAAAGCAUUCCAACAAAAUAAAAAAUAAAAAAUUAACACAUCAUGUUAAAUCUAGAAUCAAUCAAAUUAAAGGUUGCCAAAUAUUGAGCCCACUCUUUAUCGGCUGUAAAUCAAUGUUAAGAAUUUACAAUUAUUUUGUUUAGAAUUUAUUAUCAGUUGACUUUGUUAAAGCAAUGAAUCGAUUUUUACUUACUGGUAAUUAUCACCAUGCCUUUUUGUGCCUUACUCGUGUAUGCUUCUCUUCACAAUUUGCACACGUCAGGGGUUUUGCCACCUGGAGUAGGGUGGAACAGCUGCCCAAAUAAGCGCCAACCUUCUUUAUGAUUACCCCUAAAUAACUUGUAACAGCACAGACAGACAGAGUUAAAUAUUAUAUGCUCAUAAUGAAGGCCUUUUGACAACCUGCACAUUUUUUAACCCAUUUGAAAUGUUUGCUCAGGUUUAUGAUUUUCCUCAAACUGGAAGUUAGGGACACUGACUCAUUAAAGCCAUAAUCCUCUCUGUGUGCCGCAUUUUUUAUGGUUACCCACUUUCUCAUGUGACCUCACAGUCAUUGCCUUCCUCCCAGUUAAUUUAUGUGUCUACCUCCCCCUCUCGCUUCUCCAUUCCAAGGAAAUUACAGCAUGCUGUCGGGUAUAACAAAUUUGCUUUCUGAUUAUCUUGUGGAAGCUCUUUAUAGCAAUCAGCUGUGGUGAUCCAAAAAGAUGUAGUUCUCCUGCAAAAUGACAUUCAGUUUUCAGGGUUGCUCAGAGUUGGACUGCCACAACGGUGCAACCUGAUAUCUGUUGGACCUCACGGAUCGAAUCCCAGCGGUGAAAAAUCAGGACUGGUCGUUCAACCCGAGAGAAUCCAUCUAACACUCGUGGAUACAUAUAGCAAAUGUUUAUUCACUGCUGCCCCCUACAGGUCUUUUGUUUUCCCUCCACUGGUUGGCAGAUCGCUUUUUUUAGAUGGCAAUCACGUCAGAGUUGUAAGUUACGACCAAAGGUCAUCAAGUGGAAAGCUCCGCAGAUGUCUUCUUUCACAGAGACUCUGCUGUGUCCUGUAAUUUUGUUGCAGACAGCGCGUGAAUGGAAUAUUAAUGUAUUAUGAAGACAUAUGUCUCCCUCUGCUGGCGUACUCAAUCACAAUAUUUCUUGAGGCUUAACAAAAUGUCCUAUUGAUCUCCAUUUUACACUUAGUUACAGUUUAUUUUUAUUUAUGAUUUUGUAUUUUAUGUAAUGUUUUAAUUUUUUUUAUUCAGCCCCCACAAAACAAUAAUUUAUGAUCAUAUACUUUCACUAAUCUUUAAAAAAAAAAAAACAUUUAUUAUACUAUUUUUCUUAAAUGCACCAACUCUCAUUAUCUAACUGCUCAGUAAAUCAGAUUAAAGAACAGAACGGGCUGGACUGUAAGCCAUACUUUGCCUAUCCCUGUGCUAACAUUCAAAUACACUAAAAUACACUUCACUCUGUGUAUUCAACAUGCUCCACAUAACUACGAUGUGUCCUUACUGUAUGUCAUACUGUUGACAGUUGGAGCCGGUUUGUGGUCACAUGAUCUUCUCCAUAGAUUAGUGGAAUGGAGUCAUGAAGCUUCUGAAUGUGACCUGUGGAAUGAAACUCCCACCAUUGUUUGGCUAGCACACAAAGAACAAACCAGCAACCUCUGCGGCGUCAAUGCUUGGUGGUGAUGUCACUAGUUUUUCUUUCCCAGUCUUUUCAUUGUGCUGUUUCGUAUGUGUGCGCGUGUAGGAUGUUGCUCAGGAGUUAACUAUCACACUGGUACUAUACGCGAAUCCGUCUUUUAUUAAUGCAGUAGCUAGAAGUAAAUAGCAGUGCAACAUGACAGACUUUCCAGAUUUGAAGGAGCUGGAAAAUAAAGUUGGCCGGAAAACACCAGAAAGUCUUAUACUUUGGAUGAGGAAUGCUGCCGACUCACAAGAUGUGGAGAUAGAGCAUCAAAACUGCAUACUCAGUGAUUCUUUUGCCAACAAAUUGAGCAACCUUAAGCAAGAGAUGAAGUGGAUGCGCUCUGCGGAUGUGAGGAUUCUACGCCAGCUGGUUGCUGUGCACGAGGGCAUCGAGUCCAUGCGCUGGCUCAUGAUGGAGUGGAGUACCUUGGCCGAUCGUGACAGCAGCCUGACAGGAAGUCUAAGCAGCUUGGUGACAGUUGAGGAGGGUGCACGCUCACUAACUCCAUGCAGGUGCAGUGUUAGGGGGGAAACAAUGGAGAAAAUACAUUUGACAUACCCUGAGAAUUUGCCCGAUACCUUUAGUCAAGAAUCAUCAGGUCAUUCACCGCACAAUGACAGUGACCAGUCACAUCAAAAUAGCUGUGUUGAAAUGUCAAGCCAAGAGUUCAGCCCAUCCACAAACUGUUUCGUUGAGAACGACUUCCAAGAGUCAGAACCCCAGGACUCAGAAGCUCACUCUCCGCAGGAACUAAAAGUGGGCGCUGGCCCUAAUAAAGAAGUGAAUGAAAGGUCGCAAGAGACAAAGCAACAAAGCCACAACAGCAUAAGAGAAGAGGAUGAAAAGAUGGCUGCAGUUUUGUUUGGGUAUGAUGCUCAAUGGUGCUGGAUAGAGUCACAAGAUGACGUGAUGUUUUUGUGAUCUGCAAUUAGCGCAACACAAAAUACAUGUCCAUAACGUGAGACACUAUUUUUCCUAAUGAAAAGUGCAACAUGUAUUGCAGUAAGUAAAUUUAAAUAGUAAAUGCAUUCAGGUUUUAUUGCAGUAAGUUUUUAUAUAUAUUUUUUUACAAGUUUUAUGAUCUUCGCAAAUAUUGCAAAUUACAAUAUUUGAUUUAUUCUAUUAUGAAAUUUAAAUUUGUAGAAAAAUUGAGUAGGCUGCCUAUCCUCGCAUUUCAAUAUGCUUUUGUUUUUUGCUAUACAGUAUAAUCUGAAUGGACUACCUACUAUAUGCAGGGGCUGUUUUCAUCUUGAGGUUACUUUCUUAAUGUCAAAUAUACGACUAUCAAA